GACGAACGCUGGCGGCGUGCCUAAUACAUGCAAGUAGAACGCAGUUGCGAACGGGUGAGUAACGCGUAGGUAACGUCCUCAUAGCGGGGGAUAACUAUUGGGAACGAUAGCUAAUACCGCCUACUGUGAGAUGUACCUGCGUUGUAGUAGCUAGUUGGGGAGGGAAAGGCUCACUAAGGCGACGAUCCAGAGCCGAGCUGAGAGGGGGAUCGGGCAAACGUGGAGUGAGGCACGGCCCAGACUCCUACGGGAGGCAGCAGUAGGGAAUCUUUGGAAAUGGACGGAAGUCUUACCGCGCAACGCCGCGGGAGUGAAGAUGGUCUUCGGAGCGUAAAGCUCUGUUUUUCGAGAAGCGGUAUCUAAACAGAAAGGGACGGCUAACUACGUGCCAGCAGCCGCGGUAAUAC
Molecule: ribosomal RNA, 407 nt
Filed under: uncultured bacterium
Lineage: Bacteria
Description: partial 16S ribosomal RNA
Rfam family: Bacterial small subunit ribosomal RNA
Source: RNAcentral